GCUCCCUGAUUCAGCGGCGGACGGGUGAGUAAUGCCUAGGAAUCUGCCUGGUAGUGGGGGACAACGUCUCGAAAGGGACGCUAAUACCGCAUACGUCCUACGGGAGAAAGCAGGGGACCUUCGGGCCUUGCGCUAUCAGAUGAGCCUAGGUCGGAUUAGCUAGUUGGUGAGGUAAUGGCUCACCAAGGCUGCGAUCCGUAACUGGUCUGAGAGGAUGAUCAGUCACACUGGAACUGAGACACGGUCCAGACUCCUACGGGAGGCAGCAGUGGGGAAUAUUGGACAAUGGGCGAAAGCCUGAUCCAGCCAUGCCGCGUGUGUGAAGAAGGUCUUCGGAUUGUAAAGCACUUUAAGUUGGGAGGAAGGGCAGUAAGUUAAUACCUUGCUGUUUUGACGUUACCGACAGAAUAAGCACCGGCUAACUUCGUGCCAGCAGCCGCGGUAAUACGAAGGGUGCAAGCGUUAAUCGGAAUUACUGGGCGUAAAGCGCGCGUAGGUGGUUUGUUAAGUUGGAAGUGAAAGCCCCGGGCUCAACCUGGGAACUGCUUUCAAAACUGGCAAGCUAGAGUAUGGCAGAGGGUGGUGGAAUUUCCUGUGUAGCGGUGAAAUGCGUAGAUAUAGGAAGGAACACCAGUGGCGAAGGCGACCACCUGGGCUAAUACUGACACUGAGGUGCGAAAGC
This 682-nucleotide ribosomal RNA is filed under the name Stutzerimonas stutzeri. RNAcentral describes it as "bacterial SSU rRNA". It matches the Rfam family "Bacterial small subunit ribosomal RNA", at positions 82 to 760 of the family's 1533-position model. Lineage: Bacteria; Pseudomonadati; Pseudomonadota; Gammaproteobacteria; Pseudomonadales; Pseudomonadaceae. The record is from RNAcentral.